RNAcentral lists this ribosomal RNA (490 nucleotides) under uncultured bacterium. RNAcentral describes it as "partial 16S ribosomal RNA". It matches the Rfam family "Bacterial small subunit ribosomal RNA", at positions 28 to 507 of the family's 1533-position model. The record is from RNAcentral.
GAUGAACGCUAGCUACAGGCUUAACACAUGCAAGUCGAGGGGAAACGCUGAGAGAGCUUGCUCUCUUAGGCGUCGACCGGCGCACGGGUGAGUAACGCGUAUCCAACCUACCCAUUACAGGGGGAUAACCUUGCGAAAGUAAGACUAAUACCCCAUGGCAUUUUAUGGUGGCAUCAUUAUAGGAUUAAAGAUUUAUUGGUAAUGGAUGGGGAUGCGUCUGAUUAGCUUGUUGGCGGGGUAACGGCCCACCAAGGCAACGAUCAGUAGGGGUUCUGAGAGGAAGGUCCACCACACUGGAACUGGGACCCAGUCCAAGCUCCUACAGAAGGAAGCAAUAAGGAAUAAUGGUAAAUGGGAGAGAGCAUGACCCCGCCACGUAGCGUGCAAGAAGACGGCCCUAUAGAUUGUGAACUGCUUUUAUAGGGAAAUAAAGUGAGCUACGUGUAAUUUAUUGCAAGUACCCUAUGAAUAAGGACCGGCUAAAUCCGUG